CGUCGGAGUCGUCGCGGCUCGGCUGGUUUUGCAAAGUGUUGGAAACACCGCCAUGAGAAGAAUGGCGUCCAUUUACAUAAUGCUUUGUUUGCAUUUUGCGGGUUUCUUUUCGGUUAAACCUACAGAAACCCCACCUCCUUCCCGUAAUGUUGCUUUAACCUCCGCAGUCUUGUCAGACAUUUGAACAAUAGUGUGUUUCUGUGGAGACAUCAUUCACGGCAGUGCCGAGUAGGGUUUUGGGGGUUACUGCAGGUUUCCCAGCGAGGUCUACUGCUUUUCGGGCCUACUCGCUCUUGGCGCAGCCGCCGCGCCCCACUCUUUCCGGGGGCGGACCCGCCAUCUUGGACAGCCUUUCCGGCCGUUUUCUUCCCGCUAGGAAAUGCCGCUCGAGACACUGCCAAGGAAGUUGGGAUUUUUGCCCCUUUCCUUCCCUCCUUGGACUAAGGUCGUGCGAGCAAGGUGUUUUAAAAUCCCGUAGAGAGCGACUAACGUGGCGCUCGCCUGACCCCCCCCUUUCUCCGCGGGGGUGGCCGCCAUGUUUAUUGAGCACAAAAUGGCGGCAUGUGGCCUGGAUACGUAGCCAACGAGAAAUUGAGAGGAAGAAUUUAAACCUAGAGAGAUGAGGUGACUAAUUCAAGGUAACAGUGUUGGGAGCGGAAUCCAGAACUUCUCAUUUCCUUGCUGGGCUGUCUGGUAUAUGCCUGUGUGAGGCUCAGCAUGCUGUGAUACAGACUAAUUGAUGGUGAAUCAACUAUUGUGUAAGGCCUGGGCAGUAUCAUUUCUUCAGGUGAGACAUGGUCUUGGUUAAGAAUGUGACUUUGGAGCCAGCCUCCUGGGGCUUGAAUUCUGACUCAGUUGCUUUGUGUGAAGUUGGGGAUCCAACUCAGGACCUCGUGCUUGCAAGGCAGGUAGCAGCAGCACAGAGAAAAAUCUCAGGCCCUCAAUUUGAAAAUAGAUGUCUAACUCAGCUGGGCUGCCUCCUCUGUAGUGUUGUCUCCUUCGUGUGCUGGGGGACCAUCUCGCCACCCUGAAGGGAAUGCUCCCCAACACAGAUGAAAGCUGAGCUGCAGGAUGGGGAGAGGAGGAGACCAUAUGACAUCUUUUGUGUACCUCUUAAUGAGAAUUUGAUUUGGAUUUUUGUCACCUGUAGCCAGAAGUGCCUUGACUAAUCGGUGCCAUAAAUUAUAUAUAGUUCUCAUGACAGCGUGGGUCAGCCUUUUUCAAAAGAUCUCUGAAUUUUAAGCUAGAUGUGGUGGCACACGCCUGUAAUCCCAGCGCUGGAGAGACUGAGGCAACCUGGGCUCCACAGUGAGUUCAGGGUCAGCCUGAACUGCACAGUGAGACCCUGUCUCAGAACAAGCAAACAGUGAAUGUCGCCACCAAGUGCCAUCCAACAGAAAGGCAGACUUGUAAAAACUGUGUGUCUUCAUCCACCUUACUCACUGGAUCUGGUACCAGUGCCUUUUGGUCUCCCCCAAAGUCAAAAUGACUACAGAAAGUCAAUGUUUGAAUUGACACAGAACACUGAGAUGGCUAUGAUAGCACAACAAAAGAGGACUCCAGAGCUGCUGCAGAUAGUGGCAAGAAUGGGAAGACAAGUGUGUGAAAGCCAGGGCGAGGACUUUGAGGGAAAUGACUUGUGUGUCUUUUAUUUUAAUGAUUUUCUUAAAAAAUAAAAACUCCCCAUAUUCUAUUAUCACACCUCAUAUAGUUGAUCUAGAGUGUACUGCUACCUUGAUUCAUGGAAUUAGGGCUGUGGCGAAAUUGGCCAAACCAGGGAAGAUUUGAAAUCUUGUCCCCUGUGUGUCUCCUGCACUAGCCCACACCCCCGGUAUACAUAGAGAAUUUUGUCUCAGAGAUGGUUAAUUUCUAGUUGAUUAUGAAUCUCUGCCAAAUCACUAGUUCUGGUUUUUAUUGGGAGUAUUUUAUUAAACCAUGGAGUAGUGUGGCUCUGGCCUAGUAUUUGGAAAGCCUUGCAGAGGAGAUUUUGUGUCCAGGCACCUUUAUUGCUCCACUGUCUUUAUUAAAUCACCUAUUUCACUGGGGUAGUCCACCUUCCCUCUGGCUCUUGCCAGGAGUGUUUUAGAAGCUGUAGGAAAGCCAAGAAGUUGAUGAGACUUCACUCCCUAGCAUGAAACGCAAAUAGUAAUAGGUUUCCUGGGGUGACUGGGGCUCACUCCUUUAGCACUUUUGGCUGAAGCAGCUUUCAAGUCUGACCCCCCCCCCCACUUCUCCCGAUAGAAACUACCUUUCAUCUUGUCCCCCUGCCUGCUUCCCCUAAGGUUAGAGGCAGUGUUCCCAGGGUACAUGUGACUUUCACUGGCAAUUGACAAUUACAGACGGUUUACCAGUCAGUAAAGCUGCCAGAGGCUUUUGUGCUGUAAUAAUCCUUUUCCUGUUUAAAACUCCAGGGAUUUUUUACUGUUGCCAAUAGUUUUUCAAGUCAGCAAUUACGAUGUAGAUUAUGUAAUGGCUGGGUAUUAAAAAUAGAAAAGGCCAGGGUUUGCAUCUAUUUUAGCCGAAUCAAAACAGAGCAGAGGAGAGGGAGAAACCAGAGGAGGAGGAGGGGAAAAAAGAUCAUGUGAUGAGAAGCAGAGAUUGCAUCAUGUGACUAGAUAAUCUGGCCAUAAUUUAAGGCCUUUUUCUGCCGUUUGUGACUGAAGGACUGUCCUCCCUUUCCUCAGCCUGUUUCUGGGAGAGGGGUCUCGCCAAGAAUUCCUUCUGUGGACACUGGAUCCCUAUGGAUAUUCCUUAGCUCAGCCUUGGUCUUGCUUGGUAGUUCAAGGCUGGCCCUGAACUCACUGUGUAGCCCCGGCCGGCCUCAAACUCGCGGUGAUCCUCCGGCCUCCGCCUCCUGAGUACUGGGAUCACACGCACAGCCACCACGCACAGCUAUUACCGAGAACUUUCUUUGAGCCUGGCUCGUCUCCGCAUCGCCAGCACCUAGUGCAGAAUCCGGCACAGGUCAGAAGCGAGCACACAUUACCAGGGAAGGACUGCGCAUCUGAGCAAGCGGGCGCCUUGUGCUUGGGGCGGGGGUGCUCACAGUGGUGGAUUGCAGGAGGACCCGCCUGAGACCGUAUGCAGCAGGUCCUUGAAGAGAGGAGCUUCCCAGAGUCCAGGAGAGCCCGGGCAAGGCAUGGGGCUUGCAAGAGCAGAGCGUCAAAGGAACUGCGCCUGGUUCUGUGGCAGAAGUAGAGCCGAGUGUCAGACACAUCAGAUGCGGAUCUGGAGAAACAGAGUGGGACAAGGAACAACAGCUGUUGGCUGUGGGAAGCCUGGGAGGCUGGCUUUGCCUAGUGCAGAACAGAGCAGGACACAGGAGUGCCAGAUGCCAUCAGCAAGGUGACCAGGGCCAGCAGUGCCGGGCCAGGGGUAGGGAGGACAAUGUGCUGUCUGGGGGACACCAGGUGAGCGGUGUGACCCAAAGAGGGCAGGAAUAGCUGUGAGAGGGCUUUAGAUGGCAGUGGCCUGGCGUGGGAGGUUGACAACGUCCACGAUUUCUAGCUUGGGUUCUUGAGUGAAUGCUAACGAGCACCCCUAACACGGCAGCCCGGAGAGGAGCAAUUCUGAGAAAAAGGAACAGAGUUGAAUUUUGCUUCUACAACAAGACCUGAACAAGAGUCAUUGGAAGGGGCCGUGAGGUGUUUGGAGAGCCUCUGCAGGCCCCUCUCAGGGCAGAGCUGGAGUUGGGAGUCAGAUCUAGGUGUGCUCAGAUCACACCAGCGCUCUUCACUAUGUUUGCAGGAAUUUUGUGGGGCAGUGGUUAAACCAGCUAUUAGUAAACAUGAAACUAUAGCCAGGUGUGGUGCUGCACACCUGUAAUCCCCACACUCGGGAGGC
Molecule: long non-coding RNA, 3843 nt
Organism: Fukomys damarensis (Damara mole-rat)
Lineage: Eukaryota; Metazoa; Chordata; Mammalia; Rodentia; Bathyergidae
Exons: 8
Source: RefSeq, a predicted model, not a curated record